CAACACACUUAGAGAGAUAAACCCCCCUCAGUUUCACAAGGCAUUUCUGUGCUUUCUUUAUGUUGUUUUGGUUUUAUUGACAGUGUUUAUGCACUACAUAGGCAAUAAAACAUAUUUAUAGUAUAGAGUUCAUCUGCCCUGAGUGCAGUAGGGCGCUGGGAGGAAGAAGAUGACAAGUACUGUACAUAUGAGAGAGAGUAAACGAUACUGAGACAGAGUUUCCCUUCAGCAGCUGAGUUUCAGUUAAAGUCGGCUCUGUUAUGAUUCAUUCAAGUUUGACAGCAAACAGAGCUGCUGAGUCAACACUAACAUGACUCUUCCUGCUGAUCUAUCACUGUGACGGCCAACAGCCAACACCGUCCUGCCACCUCACCACACCUCAGCUCGGGAUCGACAGACAAUCCUACCAUCCUGCACACAGAAGCUCCCAGGAGUAGCAGAUAAGACCUGGACCGUUCUGGACAACCUUCAAUCCCCGUGACCUCAUGUGACCUUGAGCGAGACACCGCAGGCUCCAGCGGCGCCACUCUGUGCCCGAUCCUGAACCGUGACCUCUGACCUCUCUGUGAAAGGCAGCAGCGGGAGACGAGAUAAAAGAGUUCUCACUGCUGGAUCAAUGGAGGAGCAUCGACCAACAUCCAGCACAUGCUUCUACUGACACACAUCAGCACAGGCAGACACCUCGGUUGAGCUGCUGCAACAAACUUGUGACAGUCAGAAAACAUGUUAUGCUCCUGCACCUUCCUGGAAAGAUGCCCAGUUGCAAACUCCAUGAUAGAAGUUGGUUUUGGCGCUCGGCUCAAACUCUUGGAAAGUGACUUCAAACGGCUGGCAGAGGGCGAGGAACGAGCAGGAUCACCGCACCGAAAUACUGCUGAGCGGUUUGUGUUUUUGGCUUCAGAGACGUUUCUCAAGCAGCAUGAUUAAUGAAA
Molecule: long non-coding RNA, 932 nt
Organism: Siniperca chuatsi (mandarin fish)
Lineage: Eukaryota; Metazoa; Chordata; Actinopteri; Centrarchiformes; Sinipercidae
Exons: 4
Source: RefSeq, a predicted model, not a curated record